GCCACCGCUACAGGUUCUCUUUCUCUGCUCGCUCCGAUGUAGAGUGAUUUUACAUCCAUGGAUAGUCCAUUGCCAUACUCCUGCCACUUUGUUGGAGACCGGGUGCACCCUCGCACGCCUUUAACGAGGAGUUAAUACGUCCCUCCCAACCUUCUUUUCUUUUCUUUCCCCCUUGCGAAAACAGACCCCCCUCCUCUCCGGCCCAGAGCAGCUGCCCGUCAUACAGAAGGCCCUGCCUCUUCCGGGUCUCUUCGGCUGAGACACUGCUUCCUCCUCUCUCGCUUGCUCUCUCUCUUUUGUGAGUUAUAGCAACUGUUGCCUUGUGAAUUAAGCGCCAUAGUCACCGUAGUCCUGGUGACCGUUACUCAUCAACAAUUGCUCUGCCGCAGCUUUCCAUCUCCUUCAUCAUCACUUACAAUAGCCACCGCCAUCAAGAACAACAGAGCUUUCCACGGUUCAGGUCGUUGAUGAAGAUGUUGAUCAAGACCGGCCCCAGAGCUGAUCCCUGUGGAACUCCGCUGGCCACAAGCCUCCAACUCGAUUCUGUGCCGUUGAUCACCACCCUCUGGGUUCCGUCAUUCAGGCAGUUCUCAAUCCUCUCAAUCCACCUCACCGUCCACUCAUCCGAUCCACACUGGCUGAGCUUUCUGAUGAGGAUGUUAUGGGAGACGGUGUCAAAAGCCUUGCUGAAGCCAAGGGUCCAAGGCGUAUCGGAUUCACUGGAGGCCUGUACCUGAUUGUGGAAGCCUCUGUCGAUCUCCACCUCCAUCCCUCUGAUACUACAGAGCUACUAACGGUUUCAUGCAGCUCUUUCACCUGACGCUGGAGCUCUUGAACUUGAGGGCACCUAUGACACGUACUUACCUCAGCAGCAUAGGUCCCUAAACAUCCUAGACACCCCCUGCUCUCCACCUGGACUGAAGCAUCCUUGCUGACCGACUCUGGGUGGAUGCAUCGAUCUUCACCAGGGUAUUCUCCAUCUGAGUCUUGGCUUUAGCCCUCAGGCGAGUGCCCACCAUCUUGUUAGCUUGGGGCAGGAGCACUUCUCCAACUUGCGGCUCUAUGUGGGCUGAGGGAUCGUUCCUUGCCCAUCCUCCCUGCUCGCCCUGCCUGUGCAAACUGCCAUGCCACACCUGGGUGCCGCGCCACGUCCUGCUUGCCGCGCUCCCUGGAGAAUGUUUAAAUCCCCCACGGCUGCUGCGGCUCUGCCUCCACGCAAGACCGUCCCCGUCGCGAGAGCUGCCGGCUCCUGGUGGGUCUCCUCGCUUCUCCUUCACUCCCCGUGCUCCAGGAACCCCCGGAUUACCUCAAUUGGCCGCCCAGCUGCAAAUAAACGAGCUUUGCCACCGCUGUGUGUCCCAACGAUUAAAAAGGAUGGGAAGAGAGAUGGUAGUUAAUGAGGAUUUAUUAGAUACUGUAGGACGUGAGCAUGAUGUAAAUGGUAUGGAAUAAAGGUUGGAGAUUGUGCUGGUUUUGGCUGGGAUAGAAUUAUUUUUCUUCAUAGUGGAUUGUAUGGUGCUAUGUUUUGGAUUUGUGCCCAAAACAGUGUUCACAACACGCUGUUUCAGUUAUGUUCAGCAAUAACUUCCAUGGUGUGAAGGCCUAAUCUGCUUCUCACACUGUUCUGCCAGCGAUUAGGCUGGGGAUGGACAAGAAGUUGGGAGAGGACACCACCAGGCCAGCUGACCCCAACUGACCAAAGGGAUAUUCCAUACCAUAUGACAUCAUACUCAGUAAUAAAAGCUAGGGGAAAGGAGGAGGGAGGGGGUGACGUUCUGAAUGAUGAAGUAAAUGUUCUGUGUGAUGAAGCCCUGCUUUGCUUAACAUCUGCCUGCUGAUGGAAAGUAGUGAAUGAAUUCCUUGUUUUGCUUUGCUUGUGAGUGCAGCUUUUGCUUGACCUAUUAAACUGUCAUUAAACCUGGGAGUGAGUGAGCGGCUAUUUGGUGCUUAGCUGCCUACUGGGAUUAAACCACGACAGUACGUUUGAACUUAUUUCAAAAUAAGUAAUAUUUCGAAAUUUAGAUCAGACUACUGUUUUUAGUAUCUUUGAGAACUUCACUUGUUGUAAAAAUAUAAUGCAUCGGGUAAUCAUAGAAUGGUAGGGGUUGGAAGGCACCUCUAGAGACCAUCUAGUCCAAGACCCUUCUAAAGUAGGUCCACCUAGAUCGGGUUGCACAGGAACGCAAGUUUUGAAAACCUCUAGAGAAGGAGACUCCACAACCUGCCUGAGCAGCAUCUUCCAGUGCUUUGUCAUCCUUACAGUAAAGAAGAUUUCCUUGUUUAAGUGGAGCUUUUUGUGUUUCAGCUUUUGUCCAUUACCCCUAGUCCCAUCACUGAAAAAAGUGUGACGUACACCUAUUAAAUACUCGUAAGUAUUAAUGUGAUUCCCCCCUCAGUCUCCUCUUCUCCAGACUGAACAGUCCCAGAUCCCACAGCCUUUCCUCAUAAGAAAGAUGCUCCAGUCCCCUGAUCAUCUUGAUAUAUAUAAUCAUAUAUAUAUAUGAUACAUAUACAUUAUGUAUGUACAUUAAGGUACACAAUAUAGCUCAAGUAGAACAGAAAGUUAGCUUUUUUUAAAAAGAUCUACAAUCAAUACUCAAUAUAGAGGAAGUCCAUACAGCUUCUUAGCUAGUGCAUUUAGACUCUUCUCUUUCACCGUGUGAAAUGCUGGAAUAGAAGGAAUACUGAAAACAAAUAGCAAAGACUGUUGUGUACAGCUUAGAAUACAGAGAAAUGGAAAUUACAACUAAACAAAGGCCUGUAACAGAUCCAGCGCUAGUGACCUUUGGCUCUUGUAGUGGUUUUGUGUGGCCAGCUUUUGGUAGCGGGGGGCUACAGGGGUGGCUUCUUUAAACAAAGAGCUGCCAGAAGCUUCCCCUGUAUCUGAUAGGGCCAAUGCCAGUGGGCCCUAAGAUGGACCCGCUGCUGACCAAGGCCUGGCCGAUUAGUGAUUGAGGUAACGCCUCUGUGAAUAACGUAUCUGAGAAGGGGAAGAAGUUGCUGCGCAGCAGCAGAAGGGAGUGAGAAUGUGAAAACAACAUCUCCACAGACACCAAGGUCAGUGGAGAAGGAGGGGGAGGAGGUGCCUCAACACUGCAAGAGAGAUUCCUCUGUGACCUGUGAUGAAGAUCAUGGUGAGGCAGGCUGUCCCCCUGCAGUCCAUGGAGGUCUGCGGUGGAGCAGAGAUCCACUCGCAGACUGUGGAGGAUCCCGUGCCAGGGCAGGUAGAUGGCCCAAAGGAGGCUGUGACUCCGUGGGAAGUCCACACUGGAGCAUGCUCCUGGCAGGACCUGGGAGUCCAUGCAGAGAGGAGCCCAUUCUGGAGCAAAUUUGCUGUCAGGACUUGUGAUCCUGUGGGGAAUCCAUUCUGGAGCAGUCUCUUCCUGAAGGACACUUUUCCACGUUGGGCCAGUGUGUGUGAAGAGCUGCCCCCGUGGGAAGGACCCAUGCUGGAGCAGUUCAUGAAGAACUAUCUCCUAUGGGAGGUACUCCCCACUGUAGCAGUGGGAAGUGUGAGGAGGCCUCCCCCUGAGAAGAAGCAGCGCCAAAGUCCACCUGUGAUGAACUGUUUGUUAACCCCCAUCCCCUAUGCCGCUGGCAGGGGAGGAGGGAGAGUCCUGGGAAGAAGGAGGGGUGAGGGGAGGUGUUUUAAGAUUCGGUUUUAUUUCUCAUUUUCCCUGCUCUAUUUUGAGUGUUCAUUAAUAAAUCAACCCAUUUCUCCCCAAGUUGAGUGUAUUUUGCCUGUGACGCUAAUUGCUGAGUGAUCUCCCCGUCCUUAUCUCGACGUGUGAGCCUCUUGUUAUAUUUCUCUCUCCCUUGUCCAGUUUAGGACGGGGAGUGAUAGGACGAUUUGGUGGGUACCUGGCACCUAGCCAGGGCUAAACCUCCACAGCUCCACAGAGAAGCCACGAGAAUGCCUCCAAUGGGGAAUGCCAGGCUGUAUAUUGAAUUACUUUCUUCUUUUCAUGUUGGCGUGUGUUUAACUUGGCACAUUUUUUUGUGUUUUUAGAAAGCUUUGGGCCUUUGAAAAUUUUCUAGCAUUCUCUGGCUUCAGUUCUUUUUAAAAAAGGGGUGGGGUUUCAAAAAAGUGCAUUCUUAAAUGAUUCCAGCAAUUCAGCUUGGUAGGAUUAAAUCCAGCAUCAGUUUUCAUAUUAAGUAUUUGCACUUAUUUCAAGU
Molecule: RNA transcript, 4176 nt
Organism: Colius striatus (speckled mousebird)
Lineage: Eukaryota; Metazoa; Chordata; Aves; Coliiformes; Coliidae
Gene name: transcription factor RFX3-like
Exons: 3
Source: RefSeq, a predicted model, not a curated record